Molecule: unclassified non-coding RNA, 329 nt
Filed under: soil metagenome
Description: partial contains 5.8S ribosomal RNA, internal transcribed spacer 2, and large subunit ribosomal RNA
Rfam family: 5.8S ribosomal RNA (bases 1-120)
Source: RNAcentral
GAUGAAGAACGUAGUGAAAUGCGAUAAGUAAUGUGAAUUGCAGAAUUCAGUGAAUCAUCGAAUCUUUGAACGCACAUUGCGCCCUCUGGUAUUCCGGGGGGCAUGCCUGUUCGAGCGUCAUUAUAACCACUCAAGCUCUCGCUUGGUAUUGGGGUUCGCGGUUCCGCGGCCCCUAAAAUCAGUGGCGGUGCCUGUCGGCUCUACGCGUAGUAAUACUCCUCGCGAUUGAGUCCGGUAGGUCUACUUGCCAGCAACCCCCAAUUUUUACAGGUUGACCUCGGAUCAGGUAGGGAUACCCGCUGAACUUAAGCAUAUCAAUAAGCAGAGGA